This 255-nucleotide ribosomal RNA is filed under the name Klebsiella pneumoniae. RNAcentral describes it as "partial 16S ribosomal RNA". It matches the Rfam family "Bacterial small subunit ribosomal RNA", at positions 1000 to 1255 of the family's 1533-position model. RNAcentral also lists the same sequence under 1 other name. The record is from RNAcentral. Lineage: Bacteria; Pseudomonadati; Pseudomonadota; Gammaproteobacteria; Enterobacterales; Enterobacteriaceae.
GCAGAGAUGCUUUGGUGCCUUCGGGAACUGUGAGACAGGUGCUGCAUGGCUGUCGUCAGCUCGUGUUGUGAAAUGUUGGGUUAAGUCCCGCAACGAGCGCAACCCUUAUCCUUUGUUGCCAGCGGUUCGGCCGGGAACUCAAAGGAGACUGCCAGUGAUAAACUGGAGGAAGGUGGGGAUGACGUCAAGUCAUCAUGGCCCUUACGACCAGGGCUACACACGUGCUACAAUGGCAUAUACAAAGAGAAGCGACCU